GAUGAACGCUGGCGGCGUGCCUAAUACAUGCAAGUCGAGCGAACAGAUGAGGAGCUUGCUCCUCUGACGUUAGCGGCGGACGGGUGAGUAACACGUGGAUAACCUACCUAUAAGACUGGGAUAACUUCGGGAAACCGGAGCUAAUACCGGAUAAUAUAUUGAACCGCAUGGUUCAAUAGUUAAAGACGGUUUUGCUGUCACUUAUAGAUGGAUCCGCGCCGCAUUAGCUAGUUGGUAAGGUAACGGCUUACCAAGGCAACGAUGCGUAGCCGACCUGAGAGGGUGAUCGGCCACACUGGAACUGAGACACGGUCCAGACUCCUACGGGAGGAAGCAGUAGGGAAUCUUACGCAAUGGGCGAAAGCCUGACGGAGCAACGCCGCGUGAGUGAUGAAGGUCUUCGGAUCGUAAAACUCUGUUAUUAGGGAAGAACAAAUGUGUAAGUAACUAUGCACGUCUUGACGGUACCUAAUCAGAAAGCCACGGCUAACUACGUG
This 497-nucleotide ribosomal RNA is filed under the name uncultured bacterium. RNAcentral's name for it is "partial 16S ribosomal RNA". It matches the Rfam family "Bacterial small subunit ribosomal RNA", at positions 28 to 507 of the family's 1533-position model. The record is from RNAcentral.